CAGUUCGUGCAUGUUCUGCUUGCUUUAUGUUCUUGCGUGCUCACACCAAAUGGAUUUCUGAAAUGUGUGGACACAGAUAACAGCCAUCUCAUAUUUCUUUCUCGACUUAUAUAUCUAUUUAUCAGUGAUUUUACCUAUGCCCUGGCAGAUUUGCUCUAAUGGCAUCUACAGUCAUAUUGCUGUUUGCUGGAUUUAAGUAGCCCUCUUGGAUGCAGAAGCAGAUCAAUACAUACAGCUCUGCAGUAGUUGCUGAUGACCUACUAUAAAAAAUGGAGGUGAAAUGCUGAGUUGCGUGCAAUGGCAUUGUCAAGCAGUGAUCCAGAGGAGGGUCCGUCUGAGGUCCCAGAGGCAAGCUGGGGAUCACACAGUGUUUCUAGUGAUGAUUUGGAUGAUGCAGGGGUUAUUAAUACAGGCAAAAUUCAGAAGAAAGUGCUCCAACUGUUGACUGAGAUAGGGAUUCGAUUAAAGUUGCUAUAGGAUCCACAGAUGGAAAGUAUUUGAAAUUAAGCCAUCCAAUACUCAAAUGGACUUCCGAGAACUUGAGUCUGAAGGAUGAAAAUGAGAGAGCAACCUUGAACUCUCUCAAAUGGGUUAAUGGCCCAGAUGUGUUUGAAGGGGAAAUGUGGAAAGCUGCCAUUUUCUCAGUCCAUGCUUUGCCAGGUCAUCUGCGAUGAGCAUCUACGGAACAACACACAUGAAAAUAAUGUCCAAAUAUUUAAAGUAAGCUAUGGAGAAGAUGGGUGGUGGUGGCCGUAAGAAGACUUUGCUCUAAAGAUCUGUGCCAUACAGCUCUUGUUUAAAGAGCUUGUAUUUAAAAAAUGUUGAAAUAAAAAUAGGGAGUUGCACAUGUUGUC
Long non-coding RNA from Ictalurus punctatus (channel catfish), 854 nucleotides. RefSeq lists it as uncharacterized. The transcript is spliced from 5 exons. Lineage: Eukaryota; Metazoa; Chordata; Actinopteri; Siluriformes; Ictaluridae. The record is from RefSeq and is a predicted model, not a curated record.